GAAUCACAAUGAAGAUUGUUUGGCCAUUUGGGAUCAACAGCCAAUAUUUGCUUGCGUCUGAUUCUUCAGUUCUUUAAUCAAACCUUUUUUAUCUAAAUUGAACCAAUUUAAAUGUGUGAUUCAUUGUGAUUAUUGUUACAUGUUGUAUUUCUGAUAGCAGCCUACAGUCCAGGGUAUUUAACAGCUCUAGCUUGCACGUGAUUGGCUAUGAAGGCUUAAUAAUUAAUAGAUUAAAUUUCUAGUUCCGCAUGUUUGUAGUCACCUGAAUAAAGCAAUUGUUUAUAUGGUUGGCAAGUUCAACUCCUUCGAAAAAACAGCCAUUGUGAAGAAUGCUAGACACCUGGCUAGUAUUAUUAUUCAUUCCAGCAAGGCUUUUCACUUCUUUCCACCACUGUCGAGUGUUUGAUUUUCCGCAAUGCUUGAUUUUGUGUUUAAGAUAGCGUUGUUUUGUCUUUUCCACUAAUCGAUUUGUCUUAUUUCUCAAUGAUCGAAACUCCGGUGAUUGUGGUGCUAAUCACAUCCAAGCUUUCUGCCGUUCAACUAUAGCUCGUUGAAUUUAUGCAGAUAUCCAAGGUGUAAAGUUCACAGUUUUUAAUUUUUCAAAAAACAUGUGUCUAUUGGCACUGCAAAUUCACGUACAAGCACUUUUGAUUUCUUUCCUUUUGGUGAAAUUGUCUUGGGAAAUAGUACAUUGUGAUCAGAACUUCCAAUUGAGGGUAGGAUUUCAGGUUGGUUGUAGUAUUUAUGAAGAAUAGGUAAGAUCAGGCCAAGAAUCUUUUGCCCUCUCGUUGGUAUUUUACUAAUUGUCUUAAGUUAAAUGAGGACCACAGAUCUCGAUAAUUAAAAUGGUUAAAGUCGCCUGCUAACAUGAUAAACGCAUUUGGAAAGGAGUCAAGGGUACUAUCUAAAGUUGGAUAUAGCUCAUAAGAGCUUUAUUAUCAUCACUAUCAUGUCCGGGGGUGGGGUGGCGAUAAACAACUCCGACAACAACAACUUCGUGCCCAGGGUCAUUCCUCUUGCGGAGAAAAGAC
Molecule: non-coding RNA, 1031 nt
Organism: Paramuricea clavata
Lineage: Eukaryota; Metazoa; Cnidaria; Anthozoa; Malacalcyonacea; Plexauridae
Source: the annotation of a GenBank genome assembly